RNAcentral lists this ribosomal RNA (744 nucleotides) under uncultured bacterium. Its description in RNAcentral is "bacterial SSU rRNA". It matches the Rfam family "Bacterial small subunit ribosomal RNA", at positions 31 to 762 of the family's 1533-position model. The record is from RNAcentral.
GAACGCUGGCGGCGUGCCUAAUACAUGCAAGUCGAGCGGAGUAAAGACUUCGGUUUUUAUUGAGCGGCGGACGGGUGAGUAACACGUAGGUAACCUGCCUAACAGACUGGGAUAACUACCGGAAACGGUAGCUAAGACCGGAUACGACAAUUUGAGGGCAUCCUCGAGUUGAGAAAAGCGGAGCAAUCUGCUGCUGAUAGAUGGACCUGCGGCGCAUUAGCUAGUUGGUGAGGUAGAGGCUCACCAAGGCGACGAUGCGUAGCCGACCUGAGAGGGUGAACGGCCACACUGGGACUGAGACACGGCCCAGACUCCUACGGGAGGCAGCAGUAGGGAAUCUUCGGCAAUGGACGAAAGUCUGACCGAGCAACGCCGCGUGAGUGAUGAAGGUUUUCGGAUCGUAAAACUCUGUUGCCAGGGAAGAAUAGUUAGGCGAGUAACUGCGCUUAGCAUGACGGUACCUGAGAAGAAAGCCCCGGCUAACUACGUGCCAGCAGCCGCGGUAAUACGUAGGGGGCAAGCGUUGUCCGGAAUUAUUGGGCGUAAAGCGCGCGCAGGCGGUUAAGUAAGUCUGGUGUAUAAACCAAGGGCUCAACCUUUGGACGCAUUGGAAACUGUUUGACUGGAGUGUAGGAGAGGAAAGUGGAAUUCCACGUGUAGCGGUGAAAUGCGUAGAGAUGUGGAGGAACACCAGUGGCGAAGGCGACUUUCUGGCCUAUAACUGACGCUGAGGCGCGAAAGCGU